This 359-nucleotide long non-coding RNA is filed under the name Mytilus galloprovincialis (Mediterranean mussel). The record is from RNAcentral. Lineage: Eukaryota; Metazoa; Mollusca; Bivalvia; Mytilida; Mytilidae.
UUAAGUGCCAGUCUUUGUAAGAAUCAGGCAAUUUUGGUAAAAAUUAAAACAUGAUAAGAAAAAAACCCACGAGUUAAUCAUGCUAUUUAAUACUAAUCAUCAUCCUGAGUUAAAAAGUAUUAGUCUUUCGUUUGUGUGUGUCUGGUAAUAUCAAAUAACUUGGUUAGAAAAUUGGUUAGAAUGAUAGCAAAUUACAGAGUUAUCUCCCCUUAUUCGUUAAUUUCUAGUGCAUUUCAACCAAAUUGUAUCUUCUAUUACCAGAGCAGAAAACAGAAAUGAAUGUUAUUUUUGUGCAUAACUUCAUAUUAUGAACUAAAAUCAAUGUCAAAUUGGGUGGGGUUUUUUGGUCAUGUUUUCAC